Molecule: ribosomal RNA, 254 nt
Filed under: uncultured bacterium
Lineage: Bacteria
Description: partial 16S ribosomal RNA
Rfam family: Bacterial small subunit ribosomal RNA
Source: RNAcentral
UACGAAGGGAGCUAGCGUUGUUCGGAAUCACUGGGCGUAAAGAGCUCGUAGGCGGUGUGUCGCGUCGGCUGUGAAAACCUGCAGCUUAACUGUGGGCUUGCGGUCGAUACGGGCAUCACUGGAGUUCGGCAGGGGAGACUGGAAUUCCUGGUGUAGCGGUGAAAUGCGCAGAUAUCAGGAGGAACACCGGUGGCGAAGGCGGGUCUCUGGGCCGAUACUGACGCUGAGGAGCGAAAGCGUGGGGAGCGAACAGG